UACGUAGGUGUCAAGCGUUGUCCGGAUUUAUUGGGCGUAAAGCGCGCGCAGGCGGUCUUUUAAGUCUGAUGUGAAAUCUUGCGGCUCAACCGCAAGCGGUCAUUGGAAACUGGGGGACUUGAGUACAGAAGAGGAAAGCGGAAUUCCACGUGUAGCGGUGAAAUGCGUAGAGAUGUGGAGGAACACCAGUGGCGAAGGCGGCUUUCUGGUCUGUAACUGACGCUGAGGCGCGAAAGCGUGGGGAGCAAACAGG
RNAcentral lists this ribosomal RNA (253 nucleotides) under uncultured bacterium. RNAcentral describes it as "partial 16S ribosomal RNA". It matches the Rfam family "Bacterial small subunit ribosomal RNA", at positions 524 to 776 of the family's 1533-position model. The record is from RNAcentral.